Molecule: long non-coding RNA, 1068 nt
Filed under: Phasianus colchicus (ring-necked pheasant)
Lineage: Eukaryota; Metazoa; Chordata; Aves; Galliformes; Phasianidae
Description: lncRNA (ENSPCLG00000000427.1)
Source: RNAcentral
GUGAUUUUAGAUUUGGGAAGGAGGGCAAAUGCUUUGUUUUUCUGAGAUGCUGCACUUGCAUGGGAAUGGCAAACAUCCCAUGUUGUUCUGUGGUGUGGAUGGAACAGCUGUGUGCCCAGGGCAGGGGGUCUGCAGCAUCCACAGCAUCAUUCAGCACAGCUGAAUGAUUUACCUUCUGUAAAGCUCUGUGACCUGAGGCACUCUGGGACUCCUGAGCUCUGCAGUUGGGGAAGUUAAUCAAUAUAAUUACCGACAAAUGAAGUUGCUCCCGUCCUCUGAGCACAGGUGUGAUGGGCAUUAAGGAACCCCAGGAGCACUUGCUGACCUGUGUUGUAAUCGGGCUUUCCAGGGCAGAGGGCAAGGAGUAAUUAAUGAUGUGGGCUCAUCAUUAAUUGGGAUGAUUGGGAUCAUUUGCAUUGUUACUGUUUGCAAGCAAGGCUCUGGAGCUCCCCAACACACAGUGUGUCCCUGAACUGCUGCUGUGGGCAGCGCUGGCUGUGUGUCAACUGCAGGACAGCCACCAGCUCUCACUGCUCCAGCUGGAUGCUAUCUCCCCAACGAGCUCACAAAAGAAGCCCAAGGAACCAGCCAGCCAAACAGAUAAGGACUGGCCACAGGACCAAGAACCACCACAAGCUGAGGAUCAUCUCCUGUUGGAAGGCAUCAGCGUGGUGAUGGUGAUAGCCUUGCUCAGACCCAAAGCACUGAGGAUGAUUUCCAACACCGAUCAUGGCCUUUUUACUGCCAGAUCAACCAGAAAAUCCUUCCUAGGGGCAGAGUUGUGCCACAGCCACCUUCCUCUAAGGAAGCUCGGCACCGAGAUGGAAGGACCUGGUGAUGUCUUUGGAUUGGGGACAGCAGGUGGGAGCUUUCUAAGCCAGACAAAGGAGACCUGACAAGAAACUGUGGUGAAGGGACGAGCCCAAGGCAAAGGAAUGUCCGGUCACCUCCUCCUCUGGAGCAGGCAGCUGAGAUCUGCAUAGACAGGAGACAUUUUGCAAGACUCAACACCUGGAGCAGUGCUAACCAGGCAAGGACGGGGCUCUGUUGUAUCAAGAUGUUGAUCUC